CAAGAAACGGAGGAUGAAACCGAACAGGAAGCCGAACAGAGGCAGAGAAAGAGAAGGAAGACACGCUCCGGUGAUCAGACGGCCACGGAAGGGGAAUCGCACGAUCCCUAUGACUUCAGCGACACGGAAGAGGAGAUGCCGGAGAUUCAGGCACGGACUCCCAAAUCUCCUGAUCCUUCACAAACCGGAGAGGCUAAAACAAAGUUGGCUGAAU
Molecule: long non-coding RNA, 214 nt
Organism: Gekko japonicus
Lineage: Eukaryota; Metazoa; Chordata; Lepidosauria; Squamata; Gekkonidae
Exons: 3
Source: RefSeq, a predicted model, not a curated record